AUUUGAUAGUACCUUACUACUUGGAUAACCGUGGUAAUUCUAGAGCUAAUACAUGCUAAAAACCCCAACUUCGGGAGGGGUGUAUUUAUUAGAUAAAAAACCAAUGCCCUUCGGGGCUCCUUGGUGAUUCAUAAUAACUUCUCAGAUCGCAUGGCCUUGCGCCGGCGACGGUUCAUUCAAAUUUCUGCCCUAUCAACUUUCGAUGGUAAGGUAUUGGCUUACCAUGGUUUCAACGGGUAACGGGGAAUUAGGGUUCGAUUCCGGAGAGGGAGCCUGAGAAACGGCUACCACAUCCAAGGAAGGCAGCAGGCGCGCAAAUUACCCAAUCCCGACACGGGGAGGUAGUGACAAUAAAUACUGAUACAGGGCUCUUUAGGGUCUUGUAAUUGGAAUGAGUACAAUUUAAACCUCUUAACGAGGAACAAUUGGAGGGCAAGUCUGGUGCCAGCAGCCGCGGUAAUUCCAGCUCCAAUAGCGUAUAUUAAAGUUGUUGCAGUUAAAAAGCUCGUAGUUGAACCUUUGGCCUGGCUGGCGGGUCCGCCUCACCGCGUGCACUCGUCCGGCCGGGCCUUUUCUUCUGGAGAACCGCAUGCCCUUCACUGGGUGUGUUGGGGACCAGGACUUUUACUUUGAAAAAAUUAGAGUGUUCAAAGCAGGCCUUUGCUCGAAUACGUUAGCAUGGAAUAAUAGAAUAGGACGUGCGGUCCUAUUUUGUUGGUUUCUAGGACCGCCGUAAUGAUUAAUAGGGACAGUCGGGGGCAUCAGUAUUCAAUUGUCAGAGGUGAAAUUCUUGGAUUUAUUGAAGACUAACUACUGCGAAAGCAUUUGCCAAGGAUGUUUUCAUUAAUCAGUGAACGAAAGUUAGGGGAUCGAAGACGAUCAGAUACCGUCGUAGUCUUAACCAUAAACUAUGCCGACUAGGGAUCGGGCGGUGUUACUAUUUUGACCCGCUCGGCACCUUACGAGAAAUCAAAGUG
Molecule: ribosomal RNA, 977 nt
Filed under: Periconia byssoides
Lineage: Eukaryota; Fungi; Ascomycota; Dothideomycetes; Pleosporales; Periconiaceae
Description: SSU rRNA
Rfam family: Eukaryotic small subunit ribosomal RNA
Source: RNAcentral